UUUAUAUGUAAUUCAUUUUAUGUAACCAUUUUAUUUGAUAUUGAAAACAACGUUCAUUUCAUAAAGAUCACAAUAUUCAAUUACAACAAUUUAAACAACAAAUAAACAACAAUUUAAACAUCAACUAAACAAUAAGACAAACAAAUAAAACGACUAAAUAACAUAUUUAUGUGAUUACAACUAUCUGGACAAUUUCCUCUGAUCUAUGCAUCAUAAUAUGACAACCAGUGUCAGUUUUAACUGACUCCCAUAAAUGACUUUCUCCAUUGUUGUUGUACACCGUAACAAACCUUUGAAUUAUUUUGAUCUUUUCACCGUCUACAAUGUCUCCAUCUAACCAACAAAUCAAGCUCCUCUGAAGAUGCUCGAAAGAGUCCGUGCUCUAGAGUCAGAUCUUCAUCGAAGACUUUACUGCUGAAUAAAUCAAAUUUGCAUUUCUCUUGAUAAUAUAGCACAACAUUUUGAAGAAAAAUUAAAAGAGAGAAUUAGAAGAUGGAUGGAAAUGGUGGGGAGAGAAUGAACUAUAUAUUAAAAAAAAAACACAACACAAUAGUCAUUGGCUAUGACGCAGGAUGCAUGCAUGCGCCAUAGACAAUUGCAUGACAUGAAUGCAUGCGCAAUACCCUAUAACGCCUUAAUUCAAAAUAUAACUGCAUAUCUAUGGCACCUCCUCUUGUUGGUGAAUUUUUUAAAAUGAAACGUGAUAACUUUGAUAUUUUCUAAAAGAAAUAUGAUUAUUUUGAAUUUAAAAAAAACAUAAUUAUUUAAAAGAAAUUCUAAUUUACCAUUUGAGCCAUAGUUCAAAAUAUGAAGUAUAAAGAUAAAUGAGAUAAAUAUUUUUCAUAAAAACAUAUGAAAAUAAAGGUAAAAUCUUUUUCACUAAUAUAUAAAAGAUACGAGAUAAAUAUUUGAACGACAAAAAUAAACUUGCUUCAAAUUUACAAAAUAUAAUUUUAACAAUAAAAUAUUUAUUUUAAUAUAAGAGAAGAGGAAGUGAUGUAUUUCAAAGUUAACUAAAAAAAAAAUAUUUUAAUCAAAUAUAUUUUUCAUCUUAUAUUUUGUUUGAACUUAACAUGCAAUGGAAUUUACCUAGUUAUCUGAUGUAAAUAAAUCUUGAGUAGUUAACUUCAGUUAAUUUUUCAACUGACAUAAAUUUCUUUAGUCUAUUGAUGUCAUCUAUGAUUAUACAAAAUGACAAACUUAUUAUAAUUGCUAGAAUGAAAACUUUGCAAGAUGAGAGAACAAAACUUAGUUACUCUACAAUUAAUUAUCAACCAACUACUUAUAAAUACACACAACCAUUACAGAAUGCUCCUUAAUCAUGCCAAACGGCAAGACCAAAUUCAGUUAAUCUUUUCAUUGAUAAUUUAACAGUCCUAUCCUAUGUGAACCUUUUAAGACAACAACAUUAAUAUAUUGCAUCUACCAUAAAAGACAAUAGGACAAUAACAUGAAAACAAAAUCUACAUUUCUAAACUAUUUCGGUCAUUAUAAUCAACCAGCCAACCCCCAUUUGUUGUGUAAUAAAUUAACGAUUUAAAUUCAUUACUAAUAGCCAAAUGUUGCUUUUAACACUGAAACUUAUAUUAAUAAUAUA
Molecule: long non-coding RNA, 1597 nt
Filed under: Lathyrus oleraceus (garden pea)
Lineage: Eukaryota; Viridiplantae; Streptophyta; Magnoliopsida; Fabales; Fabaceae
Description: Pisum sativum (pea) long non-coding RNA (PSAT_LNC037488)
Source: RNAcentral